UACAGGUCAGUGUUUGAGGUGCACGUUAGGUUUUGGUCCCAGAAGAAUAUUUCGUAGUAUGCCUGUUG
RNAcentral lists this transfer RNA (68 nucleotides) under Loripes lacteus. RNAcentral's name for it is "tRNA-Gln". The record is from RNAcentral. Lineage: Eukaryota; Metazoa; Mollusca; Bivalvia; Lucinida; Lucinidae.